CGGACGGGUGAGUAACACGUAGGCAACCUGCCCUCAAGUUUGGGACAACUACCGGAAACGGUAGCUAAUACCGAAUAGUUGUUUUCUUCGCCUGAAGGAAACUGGAAAGACGGAGCAAUCUGUCACUUGGGGAUGGGCCUGCGGCGCAUUAGCUAGUUGGUGGGGUAACGGCUCACCAAGGCGACGAUGCGUAGCCGACCUGAGAGGGUGAUCGGCCACACUGGGACUGAGACACGGCCCAGACUCCUACGGGAGGCAGCAGUAGGGAAUCUUCCGCAAUGGGCGAAAGCCUGACGGAGCAAUGCCGCGUGAGUGAUGAAGGUUUUCGGAUCGUAAAGCUCUGUUGCCAGGGAAGAACGCUUGGGAGAGUAACUGCUCUCAAGGUGACGGUACCUGAGAAGAAAGCCCCGGCUAACUACGUGCCAGCAGCCGCGGUAAUACGUAGGGGGCAAGCGUUGUCCGGAAUUAUUGGGCGUAAAGCGCGCGCAGGCGGUCAUUUAAGUCUGGUGUUUAAUCCCGGGGCUCAACCCCGGAUCGCACUGGAAACUGGGUGACUUGAGUGCAGAAGAGGAGAGUGGAAUUCCACGUGUAGCGGUGAAAUGCGUAGAUAUGUGGAGGAACACCAGUGGCGAAGGCGACUCUCUGGGCUGUAACUGACGCUGAGGCGCGAAAGCGUGGGGAGCAAACAGGAUUAGAUACC
RNAcentral lists this ribosomal RNA (700 nucleotides) under Paenibacillus sp. RNAcentral describes it as "bacterial SSU rRNA". It matches the Rfam family "Bacterial small subunit ribosomal RNA", at positions 99 to 786 of the family's 1533-position model. The record is from RNAcentral. Lineage: Bacteria; Bacillati; Bacillota; Bacilli; Caryophanales; Paenibacillaceae.